AAGACCUUGCACUUUUGGAGCGGCCGAUGUCUGAUUAGCUAGUUGGUGGGGUAAUGGCCUACCAAAGCUUCGAUCAGUAGCUGGUCUGAGAGGACGGCCAGCCACACUGGGACUGAGACACGGCCCAGACUCCUACGGGAGGCAGCAGUGGGGAAUUUUGGACAAUGGGSGCAAGCCUGAUCCAGCCAUGCCGCGUGAGUGAAGAAGGCCUUCGGGUUGUAAAGCUCUUUCAGCCGGGAAGAAAAGGUUGCGAYUAAUAAUCGCAAUUCMUGACGGUACCGAAAGAAGAAGCACCGGCUAACUACGUGCCAGCAGCCGCGGUAAUACGUAGGGUGCGAGCGUUAAUCGGAAUUACUGGGCGUAAAGSGUGCGCAGGCGGUUUUGUAAGUCAGAUGUGAAAUCCCCGGGCUUAACCUGGGAACU
RNAcentral lists this ribosomal RNA (423 nucleotides) under uncultured bacterium. RNAcentral's name for it is "bacterial SSU rRNA". It matches the Rfam family "Bacterial small subunit ribosomal RNA", at positions 207 to 622 of the family's 1533-position model. The record is from RNAcentral.